GCUCGGAUGGCGAAAUCGGUAGACGCAAGGGACUUAAAAUCCCUCGGGGGUAACCCCGUGCCGGUUCGACCCCGGCUCCGGGCACCA
RNAcentral lists this transfer RNA (87 nucleotides) under Pseudomonas aeruginosa. RNAcentral describes it as "tRNA-Leu". It matches the Rfam family "tRNA". From Rfam's summary of the family: Transfer RNA (tRNA) molecules are approximately 80 nucleotides in length. Their secondary structure includes four short double-helical elements and three loops (D, anti-codon, and T loops). Lineage: Bacteria; Pseudomonadati; Pseudomonadota; Gammaproteobacteria; Pseudomonadales; Pseudomonadaceae. The record is from RNAcentral.